UGAAGACUGCCUUCGGUGGCAUGAUGUUGGCAUAGCUAUUGCCUCCUGUCUUGCUAUCAAUUAGGAUGUCUUUAUAGUGGUUGCUAUUAGCUUAA
RNAcentral lists this microRNA precursor (95 nucleotides) under Sorex araneus (European shrew). Its description in RNAcentral is "miRNA (ENSSARG00000017113.1)". Lineage: Eukaryota; Metazoa; Chordata; Mammalia; Eulipotyphla; Soricidae. The record is from RNAcentral.